Molecule: ribosomal RNA, 558 nt
Filed under: uncultured bacterium
Lineage: Bacteria
Description: partial 16S ribosomal RNA
Rfam family: Bacterial small subunit ribosomal RNA
Source: RNAcentral
UGGGGAAUAUUGCACAAUGGGCGAAAGCCUGAUGCAGCAACGCCGCGUGAGUGAUGAAGGCCUUCGGGUUGUAAAGCUCUGUCUUUUGGGACGAUAAUGACGGUACCAAAGGAGGAAGCCACGGCUAACUACGUGCCAGCAGCCGCGGUAAUACGUAGGUGGCAAGCGUUGUCCGGAUUUACUGGGCGUAAAGGAUGCGUAGGCGGAUUUUUAAGUGAGAUGUGAAAUACCCGGGCUUAACUUGGGUGCUGCAUUUCAAACUGGGAAUCUAGAGUGCGGGAGAGGAGAAUGGAAUUCCUAGUGUAGCGGUGAAAUGCGUAGAGAUUAGGAAGAACACCAGUGGCGAAGGCGAUUCUCUGGACCGUAACUGACGCUGAGGCAUGAAAGCGUGGGUAGCAAACAGGAUUAGAUACCCUGGUAGUCCACGCCGUAAACGAUGAGUACUAGGUGUAGGAGGUAUCGACCCCUUCUGUGCCGCAGUUAACACAAUAAGUACUCCGCCUGGGAAGUACGAUCGCAAGAUUCAAAAGCUCAAAGGAAUUGACGGGGUCAUAGCUG